CGCAAUAUUGAUUAAAUAAAAAAUAAAAAAAAGUAAAGAUUGGUAUGGGAUUCGAACCAGGAUUAUCCACGUCCGAAGACAAACGACCAGUUCUCGUCGCCAUCCGCUCGAACUGUCAAAUCAUCUAAAAUACUCGUCGAUAGAGUAGGAUAGUGACGUCGUCGAUACUCCCCUUGAAUUAGAAAGAGACUACCGACCAAAUAGGCUCAUUUAUCUCUGUCGCAACCGUCACCCAUUUUAAGAUCGUAAGGCGCAAUCUAGAGUAUAAUAUAUCUAUGGGCAUAUUUAUUAUGUCAGGUUAUGUUAACCUAACCUAAUUUAUUUGGUUAGGAACUUUCCUUCCACCUCGAGUACAGAGUUUUGAUGUGAUAAUUCAUUGCAAGACAGUUUCAUUUAGAUUUUUUUUACUUAUUUUUGGUGUUGGAGCUUAGUGUGGUUUCCUGUUAUCUUAUUGAGAAGCUGCAAUAAAAAGUCAAAAAUGUAGUGAUAAGAAGGUGGCGGAGCAAGAAAUUGGACGAUGGUUGAGUAGAGCCGGGGAUUGCUUAAAAACUUUCAAGGAAAAGGAAUCAGAAUAAAAAUUGAAUUUAUUUAUGUUUUAAAUAAUAAAGAUAUAUUCACCUA
Long non-coding RNA from Diabrotica virgifera virgifera (western corn rootworm), 621 nucleotides. RefSeq lists it as uncharacterized. Lineage: Eukaryota; Metazoa; Arthropoda; Insecta; Coleoptera; Chrysomelidae. The transcript is spliced from 2 exons. The record is from RefSeq and is a predicted model, not a curated record.